UCAGGACGAACGCUGGCGGCGUGCCUAACACAUGCAAGUCAACGGGGAUUUGUUUCGGCAGAAUCCUAGUGGCGAACGGGUGAGUAACGCGUAGGCAACCUGCCCUCCGGCCGGGGACAACACUCCGAAAGGGGUGCUAAUACCGGAUACGAAGUCUGUGCCGCAUGGUACGGAUUUGAAAGAUGGCCUCUAUUUAUAAGCUAUCGCCGGGGGAUAGGCCUGCGUCCGAUUAGCUGGUUGGUGGGGUAACGGCCUACCAAGGCGACGAUCGGUAGCCGGUCUGAGAGGAUGAACGGCCACAUUGGGACUGAGACACGGCCCAGACUCCUACGGGAGGCAGCAGUGGGGAAUCUUCCGCAAUGGGCGCAAGCCUGACGGAGCAACGCCGCCGUGAGUGAGGAAGUUCUUCGGAACGUAAAGCUCUGUUGUUCCUGACGAACCUCCCCUCUAUCAACAACGGAGGGGACUGACGGUAGGGAACGAGGAAGCCACGGCUAACUACGUGCCAGCCGCGGC
RNAcentral lists this ribosomal RNA (516 nucleotides) under uncultured bacterium. Its description in RNAcentral is "bacterial SSU rRNA". It matches the Rfam family "Bacterial small subunit ribosomal RNA", at positions 24 to 518 of the family's 1533-position model. The record is from RNAcentral.